CCUACGGGAGGCAGCAGUGAGGAAUUUUGGUCAAUGGCCGUAAGGCUGAACCAGCCAAGUCGCGUGAAGGAAGAAGGAUCUAUGGUUUGUAAACUUCUUUUAAGAGGGAAGAGAAGAAGACGGUACCUCUUGAAUAAGCAACGGCUUACUAAGUGCCAGCAGCCGCGGUAAUACGUAGGUGGCAAGCGUUGUUCGGAUUUACUGGGGCUAAAGGGCGUGCAGCCGGGCAGACAAGUCAGAUGUGAAAUCCGGGGGCUCAACCCCGGAACUGCAAUUGAAACUGUUAGUCUUGAGUAUCGGAGAGGUCAUCGGAAGUACAUGUGUAGCGGUGAAAUGCGUAGAUAUAAGGAAGAACACCAGUGGCGAAGGCGGAUGACUGGACGGCAACUGACGGUGAGGCGCGAAAGCGUGGGGAGCAAACAGGAUUAGAUACCCUUGUAGUC
This 443-nucleotide ribosomal RNA is filed under the name uncultured bacterium. Its description in RNAcentral is "partial 16S ribosomal RNA". It matches the Rfam family "Bacterial small subunit ribosomal RNA", at positions 338 to 795 of the family's 1533-position model. The record is from RNAcentral.